This is a long non-coding RNA of Oncorhynchus tshawytscha (Chinook salmon), 451 nucleotides long. The record is from Ensembl. NCBI's taxonomy places the organism in Eukaryota, Metazoa, Chordata, Actinopteri, Salmoniformes, Salmonidae.
GUCGGAGUCAGGGAGAGAGAGAGAGACAGGGAGAGAGUCGGAGAGGGAGAGAGAGAGAGACAGGGAGAGAGUCGGAGAGGGAGAGAGAGAGAGAGACAGGGAGAGGGAGAGACAGGGAGAGGGAGAGACAGGGAGAGAGAGAGACAGGGAGAGAGAGAGACAGGGAGAGGGAGAGAGAGAGUCAGGGAGAGGGAGAGAGAGAGUCAGGGAGAGAGAGAGUCAGGGAGAGAGAGAGAGACAGGGAGAGAGAGAGAGACAGGGAGAGAGAGGGAGAGAGAGAGAGAGAGAGUCAGGGAGAGAGAGAGAGUCAGGGAGAGAGAGAGUCAGGGAGAGAGAGUCAGGGAGAGAGAGAGAGUCAGGGAGAGGGAGAGAGAGUCAGGGAGAGAGAGAGAGAGUCAGGGAGAGAGAGAGAUUUCAGGGAGAGAGAGAGAGAGUCAGGGAGAGAGAGAGA